GAAAGGCUUGGUGGAGAAGACCGUGCUACUCCAAAGAUGGUUUUGCAGAUAAUGAAUGUGAAGGGUCUUACAAUAUCUCACGUAAAGAGCCAUCUUCAGAUGUACAGGAGCAUGAAGCAUGAGCAGAUGAUACAAGAAGCGGUUUUGGCAGCUCAGAGGAACGAUAAGGCACCAGGAAUUCACUAUUCAAACUAUUUCUCACACCGGGACUCUAUGAGCUGCCUGGAGAAUCAUCACUUGGAAGACCAGGGAUUAAAUAACAAUUUACUACCCUAUCAAGACCAUGGAACUCAUAACCCCAGUUACAAGCAUGCUCUUAAGAAUACCAGCAUGCCAGCACAAAGGAAAGAAAAGCAAGAGAUGUGG
This 366-nucleotide unclassified non-coding RNA is filed under the name Hevea brasiliensis (rubber tree). The record is from RNAcentral. Lineage: Eukaryota; Viridiplantae; Streptophyta; Magnoliopsida; Malpighiales; Euphorbiaceae.